This 245-nucleotide ribosomal RNA is filed under the name Bacillus cereus. RNAcentral's name for it is "partial 16S ribosomal RNA". It matches the Rfam family "Bacterial small subunit ribosomal RNA", at positions 65 to 298 of the family's 1533-position model. Lineage: Bacteria; Bacillati; Bacillota; Bacilli; Caryophanales; Bacillaceae. RNAcentral also lists the same sequence under 1 other name. The record is from RNAcentral.
AGCGAAUGGAUUAAGAGCUUGCUCUUAUGAAGUUAGCGGCGGACGGGUGAGUAACACGUGGGUAACCUGCCCAUAAGACUGGGAUAACUCCGGGAAACCGGGGCUAAUACCGGAUAACAUUUUGAACCGCAUGGUUCGAAAUUGAAAGGCGGCUUCGGCUGUCACUUAUGGAUGGACCCGCGUCGCAUUAGCUAGUUGGUGAGGUAACGGCUCACCAAGGCAACGAUGCGUAGCCGACCUGAGAG